UUUUUUCUCACUGAAUGCCUGAUGUACACAACUGAAUACUCCAUUCAGAAAUGAACUGAUAGUUGAAAUAAUAAUGUUUUUCUCUUCUUUAUCAUUUUCAGCUACCCCCCCCCCCAGGUAAUCUCUCACACUUACUGUAUAUUUGACAGCAGUGGUUUGAACUUUUUAAUCACCUAAUAUCUGAUUUACAGCUAACGUAAAACUCUACAUUCAGAAAUGAGUCAUGGAAAGAAUGACUUCUCACACCUAUGUAUAUAUUUUACAUUUGGUGCACCUGAAAUAGAAAAAUGCAAACACACAAGUGUCCAAUUGCUUCCACACAUCUUACUGACACAGCUAUGUUUUGUUUUCCCACCAAAUUCCUAAUCCAUACUGUUCUUUCAAAAAUGUAUUAUUAUUUAAAUAAUGACAUUUUGAUCUGAUUCACUUUUCAGUUGAGGACCUCACAGUGUACGCGCAUAUAAAAGCUGUCGUUACAUUUGCCCCGGGAGCUAACGUGACAGAAAUCCUCCAACAAUUCAUUUUAAAUGCAACUGGUGGUUUCUGCGACGACGAUUGCCAAAUUGAUGCAACGGUAACCCCCGCAGCAGACGAGACACCGCCCCCCUUCUAACUCCUCCGUAUGCCAAAAUGUUCCAUGCUCGCUGUCCCAGUUUGUCAAUAUUGAUGUGUGCUUGUGUCUACUGCGAUCAUUGAAACAUUAAAAGAGUACAAUCAUCAUCA
This is a long non-coding RNA of Syngnathus acus (greater pipefish), 723 nucleotides long. RefSeq lists it as uncharacterized. The record is from RefSeq and is a predicted model, not a curated record. The transcript has 3 exons. NCBI's taxonomy places the organism in Eukaryota, Metazoa, Chordata, Actinopteri, Syngnathiformes, Syngnathidae.